GACAACAACAUUCCCUCAUUCAAUCGUUAUCUCAAUUGCACCAUUGGGAUAUGCUCACAUUCUGCUUUCAAAUAUAGGAGAUAGAUGGAAAGAUAUACAUGCGAUAGCUGUUUUCUUUUGUUAAUUCUUUUUCCCAUUCUGUGUCUCGCGUGCGUGUGUGUCAAAAACAGUAAAAAACUGUACACAUCGGUGAAGCAUUCUUAACCUUGCUGCUCCUAACUUCACAAUAGGAUAACAUAUGUUCAAAAUAUAAUGAGCUGGUAAGGAGCAUCGAUAAAAUUGCGUGUUCCAUGGCGAUGAAUAAUAGUUCCCAUAAUGAUAUCAAAGAAAAAGCCAAGAUCAAAUCGUUUUCUGCCACCAAAGACGGAUGAAGCCACUUUACAUCUGGGAUUUUGUUGAGAGGCAGUUUAUACUAACCGCAGUAUUGUCUACAUCCUAACCUUUAAUGGUGGGAUAUGUUUUUUGCUACUAAUGGAGGAGUUUCAGGAUCUCGAUGUUUGGAUUUUCAUGUCUAUAACCCCCCAUUAUUGGUGAAUGUGUGAGAGUUGACUCAAUUUUCGAACACUGGUUGAUUGAAGAAUACGAAAAUUAGCCCAAUUUUUCUUCAGAAGUCCCAGAUUUUGCCAUGAGAAUGUUGAUUGAUUGUGCUUUACAAAAGGGAGAGUGUUAGAGGUAUGUUUAGGAGUAUCUCGCUCUCAAUCAAAUGUGCGCGUCUUAAUGUUCAAUUUUUAUGGUCGGGAACUUUUUCACUUCGUCAAUAAUCGAUUCUGUUGUUCAAAUAAAAGUUAGGUGAUACUUCUUCCAAGUUCCGCCCUUUGGUUAAUGGGGAAGAAAAGACCUUCGAGUGGUCUUUUUUCCAGUCUUGAUUGACUGAUUCUCUUCUUGCAAAAAACAACACUCCGGAUUUCUUUUCAUUUCAUACUCCCGUUUGUUUUUUUAUACGUUUAUUGGACCUUAAUUUUUUUGUUUUGGAGAGGCGAUGUUCCUGACCACAAGAUGGGUCUAAAGGAAUUUCCAAAAUCGAAUAAAAGGAAUGUGGUUUCUGCUUUUUUUGGCAAAAAAAACCCAUUCUCAAGACCAAAUAUGUCUGAUACUAGAUUCUGAUGAAAGUGAUUUAUUCGUUGUUCUCAUUAAGCAGUUAAAAUCUUCGAAUUUGCCAUCUAGUUUUUUGGGCUAAGUAUUUGAUGAUCAUUGAAACCAUUUUCGAGGAACUACAUUGUCAUUGUUGCGGGCUCAGAAAACUGUUGUCUGAAUUUAACCUUUUCCUAUGGAGGUAGAAGGGAUCAAACUAUUGGUUUUACUCCAUAUGACUGGGUGUUCCAUUCACACCUAAUCUUUGUCAUUUGUUAUAAAAGCAUGCACACUUGAUUCAAUGGGCUUCCUUUAGGGUUAGUUUUUUUUUCCAAUACUUUUAGGGUAUGUUUGAUGAUAGAGUAUGUGCUUUUUGAAUGAUGGAGACGAAAGUUUUGAGUGCCGUAUUUUAUAUCUUUUUGAGUUUUAUUUAUUGACGACGCUUUGAAAUGUUUGAUUAUGGUGUGGAGUGGUGAGGGGAGCCUUGCAUCCGAACUUUGACUGCAAAAGGGGCGUAAAUGGGAGUUUGACUGUGGAAUUGCGUGAGAAAGAUUGGAUUUGAAGUUGUCCUUUUUACCUAUUUUU
Molecule: non-coding RNA, 1656 nt
Filed under: Lodderomyces parapsilosis
Lineage: Eukaryota; Fungi; Ascomycota; Pichiomycetes; Serinales; Debaryomycetaceae
Source: RNAcentral